AGUGAACGCUGGCGGUAGGCCUAACACAUGCAAGUCGAACGGCCGCACAGUAAGAUCUUGCUCUUACGGGUGGCGAGUGGCGGACGGGUGAGGAAUACAUCGGAAUCUACUUUUUCGUGGGGGAUAACGUAGGGACACUUACGCUAAUACCGCAUACGACCUACGGGUGAAAGCAGUGGAUCUUCGGACCUUUCGCGAUUGAAUGAGCCGAUGUCGGAUUAGCUAGUUGGCGGGGUAAAGGCCCACCAAGGCGACGAUACGUAGCUGAUCUGAGAGGAUGAUCGGCCACACUGGAACUGAGACACGGUCCAGACUCCUACGGGAGGCAGCAGUAGGGAAUAUUGGGCAAUGGGCGCAAGCCUGACGGAGCAAUGCCGCGUGAGUGAUGAAGGUCUUCGGAUCGUAAAACUCUUUUAUUGGGGAAGAACAAAAGUAGAAGUAACUCUGGACGUCUUGACGGUACCUAAUCAGUAAGCCACGGCUAACUACGUG
RNAcentral lists this ribosomal RNA (492 nucleotides) under uncultured bacterium. Its description in RNAcentral is "partial 16S ribosomal RNA". It matches the Rfam family "Bacterial small subunit ribosomal RNA", at positions 29 to 507 of the family's 1533-position model. The record is from RNAcentral.